RNA transcript from Triticum aestivum (bread wheat), 4039 nucleotides. RefSeq lists it as uncharacterized. NCBI's taxonomy places the organism in Eukaryota, Viridiplantae, Streptophyta, Magnoliopsida, Poales, Poaceae. The transcript has 5 exons. The record is from RefSeq and is a predicted model, not a curated record.
GCAUUUAACAUUGAGGCCUCGAGAAGUUGCUGUGCUCUGCCGGUGCUCGUUCAGGUCCUUCCCUCCCAAAUCCAACUGCUAGACACCACGCCGUGCUAGCUCCUCUACGCCGUCCCCCGUUUCCGGCGAGGAGCAUCGUCUGGGCUCCUGUUCGUGUGAUAGUGCGAGGAAGUCCCACUUCCAGUUGGAAGCUGCUACUCCCCGUUGCUUCUCAGACCAGAAUGGGUAGCUGAGGUACUAGCGUUUUUAUCCGGUGCACCAAGUAUUUCCUUAGGAGGAUACGCUGACUUUCAGAUGCUGCACCAAAAAGGUAUCCAGUUCAGCACUUUCAUCCUUUUGGCGUGCUUUUUAAUGUCCCCGCCUAGAUUGUAUAGCAUCGGAAAUUCAGAAUGCUGCGGUUUGGUGUGCUUUUUGGAGUUGAUGUUACUGUUAUGUGACAAUCUGCUGGUGCCACUACGUAAGAAAUAACGUUCUAUAUACAGAUAUACUUUCCAUGCUCCUUCCAUGUUCUAUUAUUGCUUUAAAACGAUCUUUUAUUUUUGCUCUGUUGGAUGUGUUGGCUGGGUGCGUGUUAUGCAGAGGCCAGGUAUUUUUUCAAUGCGGUUGUAUCACCUUGAUACACCAAUUGAAUAAAAUAUCCUUUAUCAGAAAGAAAUGCUCAACAUAGCCUAUAUUUGUGACGCCUGCUUCUCACCUGCUCCAAACGCCAGGUUAUGGUGCCCAUCCCCGGUCAUUGUGCAGUCUUACAUGGCAGUGGGGAGUAAUGGAAAGCUGGGAGAUAGAUGAGGAGUAAAUUUCCUAACGAGUAGACCCAAAUAAGAUCUGGAGAAGAACAAUGGAUAGCCGUAAUUCAUGGCCGGAAGUAAAGCGCAUCAAUAACUAUGCCGCGUUUUCGGGGUGCCUGGCGAUGGUAAUCAGAGGAUUGGGCUAUCUAGUGGUUACCUGGUCCACUGUCGUUCUUCUCGGUGGCUUCGUCUCUCUACUCCAGAAGAAGGAUUUUUUUGCUCUCACAAUAAUUACAUUCAUUCAGAUAGCCGGGGUGGUCGAUAACCUUGCUGGUGACAAGUGGAACUCAGCUGCAAGGUCAGCAUCGGGACUGAAUGCGGUGGCCGCGGUUUUUGCGCGGAACCGGCAGGAUAGUGCAACGCCAUCAGCAAAUAUCCUGAGACUGGUAGUGAGUGUUAAACAAAUUCUAGGAUGGAUCGUAUCGCUUCUCCAACAAGCGGUGUACAUAGCUCUGUUUUUGUUCGGUGCUUUCUAUGUCAUACUUUGGGGGUUGUACUCGGCCGCCGGGAUUUCCCUGUUGCGUCUAAAACGGCACGAUUACGGGGACGCGGAUGGAGAUCCUAGCAAAGCAAACAUGAAUUUGGCCCUUGACGUCUUGUACAAAAUCGUCGUGGUCCAAUGUGCAAUCUUGCUCUAUAGAAGAAUAAUCAAUGCUCUUGUGGAGAAAAGGUUAGUAACGGAAGUGGCUGAAGCAUACGGCUUCAAAGGUCCUACUGUCACAUUAGUUGAGGAUUACAUGAAAGAAACCCGGAGGGGAUGUGCGAAGAACCCUUCCUUCGCCAAAGGAAGGAACCUGGUGACAUAUGCUGUGGACCUGAUGGGGCCUGAUAAGUCGCCUGCAGACUACGCCUCCGGGUUAACCAUCCUCAGCACAAUCUUUGGGCCACUGUGCCGGGUGAAAGUGAAACCAAGCAAGUUUCAGGAGCAGCGCGGCAUAAUACGAUAUCUGAUCUUGUACGCACCCUCCAGCCACAUCUUCCGUCUCCUUUUGGUCCUAUCGAAUCCGAGAAGCAGCCCAUAUGGUAGUGAGAGGCCAGAAACUCAGAUAAUUACCUCUCAACUAAGAGAGACAAGGAAGCACGCUGCAAACAUGGUGUUGCACCUGGCCGACGGGGUCAGUGUGGAGCAGCUUCCCCAAGUGAUCCAGUGCAUAUCCUCACUAAUCAGCACAUUUAAAGAACAUCAACGAUUUUUUUUUCACACACAGUGAUUAUGCCAAGGAGGAGGAGGACUACCUGGAGCGGUUGUGGGAAUGUCUGCACGUUCUUUACGUGCUUGCAGCCAACGAGAACAACUGUAGACUCAUCAUCCACACUCGAGGUCUGCUCACCAAGAUCAUGACACCUCUAGCCUCCAACCUUUACCACCAAACUGAUCAUGAUACUUGGGAAAACGUACUAAAGGAAUCACUGAAAGUGAUAAACCGGCUCACAGCUACUUAUGGUCAUGGGGAAGGGGAAACAGGCAGCAAGCUGGUUCGGGAAAUCGAAACCAACCUGGAAAUGGAGGCAGUGGAAACCAUGAUGAGUGUUCUCAGGUGUGACAAAUGUUCUCAAAAGAUGGGAACAUUGACCAUGGGGAUUCUCACCAAUCUACACGUGCAGAUGCAGACCGCAGACAAAGUAUAUUUAAUCGAGAUGCUCGUACACAUGUACACUACUGCCAACUCCAGAACAUCAGCACUUGAAGCACUGGCGAAACUAUGUUUCCAGGACGGGAGUAAUGCCACGAUUAUCUUACAAGUAAAUGGUUCUGCAGUUUCCUCUUUCACAGAGGACCUUAAAGCUUUAAACUAUGGGUACCAUAGUGUAGCAGAAAUUCUACAGCAUGCAUGUCUUCAUUACACCAAUGAUGAUGAAUGCCUAAGGAUACUCAAGGAAUCCAUGACCGACGUAAUUCCGAAGGUGCUCAACAAAAUACUUACAACAGGUGCUUUGCAAAGUAAGGUCAAGAACAGGAGACUUCAAACAAAACGGAAAACAGAGACAUCUCUAUUAUCCCUUUGUGUGACAGUACACGAGACACUCAUCAGCGCUGAUCAGCAUUUGGCUCUUCAGUUUGAUGGCGCAAUCGGUGAACUUAGCCUUCCAGUGAAGCUCAGGGAGAUGGUUGAAAGAAACAGUAAACCCACGGCCAGUUGCCUGAAAAUACAUAAGCUUACCAGCAGGAUGGUCAUAUCAAUGAUGAAAUGCAGAGGUAGCAGAUACCCGAAACCAGAUUUGGAGAGCUUGGUGGAAGCACUGUUGAAGGCUUGUAGCAGAAACAUGUAUUUUAUUGACAGAUCCAUGGAUUUCGCAAGAGGUGACAACGCAGCAAAACCAAGCACUACCAGAAUAACUGCUUGCGCCGACGGCCUCAUCUAUGCCGACGGGGGGCCGUCGGCAUAGAUGGACCUAUGCCGACGGCCAAAGACAGGCCGUAGGCGUAGAAAAGCCGUCGGCGUACAUCCAUCUAUGCCGACGGGGCCGUCAGCAUAGACGGGGCCGUCGGGACCGCUUGAGAUACGCCUACGGGGACCGUCGGCAUAGCCCGGGCCCACCUACCUGGUCAGCGCUGACCGUUUGACGGCGUUGAAGCUACGCCGACGGGAGGUAACGGCGGCCGUCGGCAUAUCUAUGGCAGAGGUAUGCCUACAGCAAGGCCGUCGGCAUAGACCGGGCCCAUGCCCCUCUGCCACGUCAUCGAUCCGUGUGCGCAGCUCUUGCCGUCGGCAUAUGUUUAUCUAGUUUUAUUUUUAAUUUUGCUUUAUACUAUCUAUGGUGAAGGUAUGCCUACGGCAUAGCCGUCGGCAUAGGCCCCUCUGCCACGUCAUCGAUCCGUGUGCCAUGCCACGUCAUCGAUCCGUGGGACUGCACCUCCGUGUGUGCACAGAUGCCGUCGGCAUACAUUUAUUUUACUUUAUUUUUUUAUUUUUACUUUAUUUUGUUAUUUUUACUUUAUUUUAGUUUUUGUUUUUGCAUAAGAUAAUUUUGCCUUAUCUAAAAAAACAUACCCCGAUGGUAUAUCGAUUGCCCCCCGUUACGAACGUCGCUAUCGCUCUGCCACGAAGGGGGGAAACGGUCGACACGGAUGGAAUUCUGGUUGGUGGGGGGAUUCGGGGUGUAGCUAUGUCACCGAAACAUCACACGGGUCCCCAUGCAUAUGUGAAAGUGUUCAGGCAUGAGUAGACGCCCGUCUUGGGGCUCCGCGGUGUGCCCCCCUGCACGUAAGGCAGUGCCGCCGUCACUUGGAGGGGGCCAAACCCCGGAGACGC